GGGCCCGCACAAGCGGAGGAACAUGUGGUUUAAUUCGAUGAUACGCGAGGAACCUUACCCGGGAUUGAAAUGAGGAGGAAUACAGGUGAAAGUCUGUAGCCAGCGAUGGUCUCCUUGUAGGUGCUGCAUGGUUGUCGUCAGCUCGUGCCGUGAGGUGUCGGCUUAAGUGCCAUAACGAGCGCAACCCUGACUGUCAGUUGCUAACAGGUUAAGCUGAGGACUCUGGCGGGACUGCCGGCGUAAGCUGUGAGGAAGGUUGGGAUGACGUCAAAUCAGCACGGCCCUUACAUCCGGGGCGACACACGUGUUACAAUGGCAGGGACAAAGGGCAGCUACCUGGCGACAGGAUGCUAAUCUCCAAACCCUGUCUCAGUUCGGAUCGGAGUCUGCAACCCGACUCUGUGAAGCUGGAUUCGCUAGUAAUCGCGCAUCAGCCAUGGGCGCGGUGAAUACG
This 454-nucleotide ribosomal RNA is filed under the name uncultured Bacteroidales bacterium. Its description in RNAcentral is "bacterial SSU rRNA". It matches the Rfam family "Bacterial small subunit ribosomal RNA", at positions 917 to 1370 of the family's 1533-position model. Lineage: Bacteria; Pseudomonadati; Bacteroidota; Bacteroidia; Bacteroidales. The record is from RNAcentral.